This 305-nucleotide ribosomal RNA is filed under the name uncultured bacterium. RNAcentral describes it as "bacterial SSU rRNA". It matches the Rfam family "Bacterial small subunit ribosomal RNA", at positions 335 to 638 of the family's 1533-position model. The record is from RNAcentral.
UUUCAUACGGGAGGCAGCAGUGAGGAAUAUUGGUCAAUGGCCGAGAGGCUGAAUCAGCCAAGUCGCGUGAGGGAUGACGGCCCUACGGGUUGUAAACCCCUUUUGUCGGGGAGCAAAGAGAGUCACGUGUGACUCAUUGAGAGUACCCGAAGAAAAAGCAUCGGCUAACUCCGUGCCAGCAGCCGCGGUAAUACGGAGGAUGCGAGCGUUAUCCGGAUUUAUGGGGUUUAAAGGGUGCGCAGGCGGUCUGUUAAGUCAGCGGUCAAAGCCCGGGGCUCAACCCCGGCCCGCCGUUGCAACUGGCA